Molecule: ribosomal RNA, 996 nt
Filed under: uncultured organism
Description: bacterial SSU rRNA
Rfam family: Bacterial small subunit ribosomal RNA
Source: RNAcentral
CCUGGGAAUAAGCGUCGGCUAAUUACGUGCCAGCAGCCGCGGUAAGACGUAGGACGCGAGCGUAUCCGGAUUUACUGGGCGUAAAGCGCCUGCAGACGGUCAGGUAAGUCGGUUGUGAAAGCCCCGUGCUCAACGCGGGGAGNCCAAGCGAUACUGCGUGACUUGAGGGCGGAAGAGGGGAGUGGAAUUCCCGGUGUAGCGGUAAAAUGCGCAGAUAUCGGGAGGAACACCAGUGGCGAAGGCGGCUCCCUGGACCGCACCUGACGCUCAGAGGCGAAAGCUAGGGGAGCGAACAGGAUUAGAGACCCUGGUAGUCCUAGCCCUAAACGCUGGAUGCUAGGUGUAGGGCUGAUGAGGCUCUGUGCCGGAGCGAACGCGAUAAGCAUCCCGCCUGGGAACUACGGCCGCAAGGCUAAAACUCAAACGAAUUGACGGGGACCCGCACAAGCAGCGGAGCGUGUGGUUUAAUUCGAUGCUACACGAAGAACCUUACCUGGGUUUGACAUGCUGGUGGUACCGAACCGAAAGGGGAGGGACCCUUCGGGGAGCCAACACAGGUGCUGCAUGGCUGUCGUCAGCUCGUGCCGUGAGGUGUCGGGUUAAGUCCCGUAACGAGCGCAACCCUUGCUCUUAGUUAUACGUGUCUAAGGGGACUGCCGGCGACAAGCCGGAGGAAGGUGGGGAUGACGUCAAGUCAGCAUGGCCUUGAUAUCCAGGGCUACACACACGCUACAAUGGCCGGUACAAAGGGCAGCCAAGCCGCGAGGUGGAGCGAAUCCCAGCAAAGCCGGUCCCAGUUCGGAUUGCAGGCUGCAACCCGCCUGCAUGAAGUUGGAGUUGCUAGUAACCGCGCGUCAGCCAUAGUGCGGUGAAUACGUACCCGGGUCUUGUACACACCGCCCGUCACGUCAUGGGAGUUGGCAACGCCUGACAGCGGUAGCCUAACCGAAAGGAAGGCGCCGACUAAGGCGGGGCUAGCGACUGGGACGAAGUCGU